CUACGGUCAUAUCACAUUGAAACACCGGUUCCUGUACGAUCCCCAAGGUUAAGCAACAUCGAGCCUGGUCAGUACCUAGUUGGGUAAUCACUCGGGAAUAUCAGGUGGUGUG
This is a non-coding RNA of Acanthosepion pharaonis, 112 nucleotides long. NCBI's taxonomy places the organism in Eukaryota, Metazoa, Mollusca, Cephalopoda, Sepiida, Sepiidae. The record is from the annotation of a GenBank genome assembly.